AUUGGCUGAGUUGUGCUUUAUGGAUUUAUUCAUAGCAAAAGUAUACAGAUGAGUAUACUGUCUUUAAAACUAGUUUGAGCAUGGAUCCAGGUUUGCUGUUCCUUGGUGCCAUACUGAUUCCUGUAA
Non-coding RNA from Tinamus guttatus (white-throated tinamou), 126 nucleotides. NCBI's taxonomy places the organism in Eukaryota, Metazoa, Chordata, Aves, Tinamiformes, Tinamidae. The record is from RefSeq and is a predicted model, not a curated record.